Molecule: transfer RNA, 74 nt
Filed under: Candidatus Thorarchaeota archaeon
Lineage: Archaea; Promethearchaeati; Candidatus Thorarchaeota
Description: tRNA-Met
Rfam family: tRNA
About the family: Transfer RNA (tRNA) molecules are approximately 80 nucleotides in length.
Source: RNAcentral
GGGCCCGUAGCUCAGCUUGGUAGAGCAGCAGGCUCAUAACCUGUCCGUCACGAGUCCGAGUCUCGUCGGGCCCA